AGGUCUAUAUAAAAGAGACUUCAGAUACAGUAUUAGGGGACCACUAAGACCUAUAUAACACAGACUUCAGAUACAGUAUUAGGGACCACUAAGGUCUAUA
This is a long non-coding RNA of Etheostoma cragini (Arkansas darter), 100 nucleotides long. RefSeq lists it as uncharacterized. Lineage: Eukaryota; Metazoa; Chordata; Actinopteri; Perciformes; Percidae. The record is from RefSeq and is a predicted model, not a curated record. The transcript is spliced from 2 exons.